GUCGAGAGGCUUCGGCAAUGGGGGAAACCCUGACCGAGCGACGCCGCGUGGAGGAUGAAGGCCUUUGGGUCGUAAACUCCUUUCGUGGGGAAAGAAUGUGUUCAGGGUAAAUAAUCCUGGGCAUUGACGGUACCCCAAGAAGAAGCUCCGGCUAACUCCGUGCCAGCAGCCGCGGUAAUACGGGGGGAGCAAGCGUUGUUCGGAAUCACUGGGCGUAAAGGGCGUGUAGGCGGUUCGGUAAGUGGGAUGUGAAAUGCCCCGGCUCACCCGGGGACCUGCAUCCCAAACUGCUGAGCUUGAGUACAGGAGAGGGUGGGGGAAUUCCAGGUGUAGCGGUGAAAUGCGUAGAUAUCUGGAGGAACACCGGUGGCGAAGGCGCCCACCUGGCCUGCUACUGACGCUGAGGCGCGAAAGCUAGGGGAGCAAACGGGAUUAGAUACCCUAGUAGUCC
This 451-nucleotide ribosomal RNA is filed under the name uncultured bacterium. RNAcentral's name for it is "bacterial SSU rRNA". It matches the Rfam family "Bacterial small subunit ribosomal RNA", at positions 354 to 796 of the family's 1533-position model. The record is from RNAcentral.